RNAcentral lists this ribosomal RNA (491 nucleotides) under uncultured bacterium. RNAcentral describes it as "partial 16S ribosomal RNA". It matches the Rfam family "Bacterial small subunit ribosomal RNA", at positions 29 to 506 of the family's 1533-position model. The record is from RNAcentral.
AGUGAACGCUGGCGGUAGGCCUAACACAUGCAAGUCGAACGGCAGCACAGUAAGAGCUUGCUCUUACGGGUGGCGAGUGGCGGACGGGUGAGGAAUACAUCGGAAUCUACUUUUUCGUGGGGGAUAACGUAGGGAAACUUACGUUAAUACCGCAUACGACCUACGGGUGAAAGCAGGGGAUCUUCGGACCUUGCGCGAUUGAAUGAGCCGAUGUCGGAUUAGCUAGUUGGCGGGGUAAAGGCCCACCAAGGCGACGAUCCGUAGCUGGUCUGAGAGGAUGAUCAGCCACACUGGAACUGAGACACGGUCCAGACUCCUACGGGAGGCAGCAGUGGGGAAUAUUGGACAAUGGGCGCAAGCCUGAUCCAGCCAUACCGCGUGGGUGAAGAAGGCCUUCGGGUUGUAAAGCCCUUUUGUUGGGAAAGAAAAGCAGCAGGUUAAUACCCCGCUGUUCUGACGGUACCCAAAGAAUAAGCACCGGCUAACUUCGU